RNAcentral lists this ribosomal RNA (253 nucleotides) under uncultured bacterium. RNAcentral's name for it is "partial 16S ribosomal RNA". It matches the Rfam family "Bacterial small subunit ribosomal RNA", at positions 524 to 776 of the family's 1533-position model. The record is from RNAcentral.
UACGGAGGGUGCGAGCGUUGUUCGGAAUCACUGGGCGUAAAGGGCGCGUAGGCGGCGCGGAUAGUCGGCGGUGAAAGCCCGGAGCUCAACUCCGGGUCGGCCGUCGAUACUUCCGGGCUUGAGCACUGUAGAGGCAGAUGGAAUUCCGGGUGUAGCGGUGGAAUGCGUAGAGAUCCGGAAGAACACCGGUGGCGAAGGCGGUCUGCUGGGCAGUUGCUGACGCUGAUGCGCGACAGCGUGGGGAGCAAACAGG